GCCAGGUGCAGUGGCACGUGCCUGUAGUCCCAGCUACUCGGGAGGCUGAGGUGGGAGGAUCGCUCGAGCCCAGGAGUUCUGGGCUAUAGUGCGCUAUGCCGAUCUGGUGUCCACACUAAGUUCAGUAUCAAUAUGGUGACCUCCUGGGAGCGGGGGACCACCAGGUUGCCUAAGGAUGGGUGAACCAGACCAGGUGGGAAACGAAGCAGGUCAAAGCUCCCGUGCUGAUCAGUAGUGGGAUCACGCCUGUGAAUAGCCACUGCACUCCAGCCUGGGCAACAUAGCGAGACCCUGUCUCUU
Molecule: unclassified non-coding RNA, 300 nt
Organism: Callithrix jacchus (white-tufted-ear marmoset)
Lineage: Eukaryota; Metazoa; Chordata; Mammalia; Primates; Cebidae
Rfam family: Metazoan signal recognition particle RNA
About the family: The signal recognition particle (SRP) is a universally conserved ribonucleoprotein.
Source: Ensembl